UUUCAUAAUAGACGCUAACGAAUCUAGACAUAUAUAUAUAAAUUAUAUCCAUUCAUCGAUUUUUUAAACAUAUUACCACUCAGGACGCACGCACAUAAACCAUAUCCCUAUAAGCACCUCCGAAGCCUGGUCGGGAUUGACAAACUCACUACAACCUGCCUCGCUGCCGACGAGAAUUGUAGAAAAUUUGCUCUAACAAGGAGUCAAAUCCAGAACCUCAUGUGCAUCUAAGGCUGUCGUAACCAUUAGGCUAUCGGCUG
Molecule: long non-coding RNA, 260 nt
Filed under: Oryza brachyantha (malo sina)
Lineage: Eukaryota; Viridiplantae; Streptophyta; Magnoliopsida; Poales; Poaceae
Description: long non-coding RNA (OBRA_LNC003353)
Source: RNAcentral